Molecule: ribosomal RNA, 625 nt
Filed under: uncultured bacterium
Lineage: Bacteria
Description: bacterial SSU rRNA
Rfam family: Bacterial small subunit ribosomal RNA (bases 1-531)
Source: RNAcentral
CCUACGGGAGGCAGCAGUGAGGAAUAUUGGACAAUGGGCGCAAGCCUGAUCCAGCCAUGCCGCGUGCAGGAAGACGCAUCUAUGGUGUGUAAACUGCUUUUGUACGGGAAGAAACACUCCCUCGUGAGGGAGCUUGACGGUACCGUAAGAAUAAGGAUCGGCUAACUCCGUGCCAGCAGCCGCGGUAAUACGGAGGAUCCAAGCGUUAUCCGGAAUCAUUGGGUUUAAAGGGUCCGUAGGCGGUUUAAUAAGUCAGUGGUGAAAGCCCAUCGCUCAACGAUGGAACGGCCAUUGAUACUGUUAGACUUGAAUUACUAGGAAGUAACUAGAAUAUGUAGUGUAGCGGUGAAAUGCUUAGAUAUUACAUGGAAUACCAAUUGCGAAGGCAGGUUACUACUAGUGGAUUGACGCUGAUGGACGAAAGCGUGGGGAGCGAACAGGAUUAGAUACCCUGGUAGUCCACGACGUAACGAUAGAUACUAGCUGUGGUCGCGAGUACUAGUGGNGUAGAGAAGAGAGUAAGUACCGACCGUACGGGAGGUACGGUUCGUCGAGAAGUUAGAAACGUACGAAAGGAAAGUUAGACGGCGUUGAGACGNGCGACGGACGACGACGAGGGAGGAGG